AGCAGCCGCGGUAAUUCCGGCUCCAAUAGCGUAUAUUAAAGUUGUUGCAGUUAAAAAGCUCGUAGUUGAAUUUCGGGAUCAAUUUACUGGUCGUGCUAUUGUACGUACUGGUUUUAUUGAUUCCUCUCUUCUGAAGAACUAUGAUGUCAUUAAUUUGGUGUCAUAGGGAAUCAGGACUGUUACUUUGAAAAAUUAGAGUGUUUAAAGCAGGCUCACGCUUGAAUACAUUAGCAUGGAAUAACGAAAUAGGACGUUUGAUUCUAUUUUGUUGGUUUCUAGGAUCGACGUAAUGAUUAAUAGGGAUAGUUGGGGGCAUUAGUAUUCAAUUGUCAGAGGUGAAAUUCUUGGAUUUAUUGAAGACUAACUACUGCGAAAGCAUUUGCCAAGGAUGUU
RNAcentral lists this small RNA (393 nucleotides) under uncultured Glomus. Its description in RNAcentral is "SSU rRNA". It matches the Rfam family "Eukaryotic small subunit ribosomal RNA", at positions 569 to 968 of the family's 1831-position model. Lineage: Eukaryota; Fungi; Glomeromycota; Glomeromycetes; Glomerales; Glomeraceae. The record is from RNAcentral.